Molecule: long non-coding RNA, 536 nt
Filed under: Pan troglodytes (chimpanzee)
Lineage: Eukaryota; Metazoa; Chordata; Mammalia; Primates; Hominidae
Description: long non-coding RNA NONPTRT000835
Source: RNAcentral
UGGAAUGGGCAUGCAUUUGCUUGUCUGGUGGUUGUGCCUGUGUGGGUCUCACAGCCCUGCCUUGAAUCUGUGGCUCUUAUCGGGGACAAGAGGGUUGUUGCAUUAUGCUUCCUUCCAAGGCUCGAUGUCUUAUGGACCCAGGAAAGAGUUCAGGGCAUCCAGGGUGCCGCCCAUGGUCAGAGAAGGGGGCUGAGCAGCUGGGAGUUGACAGAGCAGAUACCAGGAGUCCCUCGGGAAUCCUAGGUUCUCAGGAUCAGUGAACCAACAGGGCCCCCCGGCCGUCACCUCCUCCUCAGUUGGGCUCACUCUGGAGCUCAAUGGCUGCCACCUUAAUAAGAAUAGUUUCCUGCCUGAACCGUGGCCCCAGCUGCUUUCCAAUCCUUAAUCCUGACCUUAAACAGGAGAAUAAAGGCCGGAGGAGCAGCUUCCAACCCUUGCGUCUGUCUGGCUGUGCUCCGGAGGUGUUCCCAUGUAGACUUUAUCCUGCCACUUUCCCAUGUGAAAGUCUCCCGUGUGAAGGUGGAGGCGGAGGUUAC